This 253-nucleotide ribosomal RNA is filed under the name uncultured bacterium. RNAcentral describes it as "partial 16S ribosomal RNA". It matches the Rfam family "Bacterial small subunit ribosomal RNA", at positions 524 to 776 of the family's 1533-position model. The record is from RNAcentral.
UACGGGGGGGGCAAGCGUUGUUCGGAAUUACUGGGCGUAAAGGGCUCGUAGGCGGCCAACUAAGUCGGAUGUGAAAUCCCCAGGCUUAACCUGGGAACUGCAUUCGAGACUGCAUGGCUAGAGUAUGGGAGAGGGAAGUGGAAUUUCAGGUGUAGCGGUGAAAUGCGUAGAUAUCUGAAGGAACAUCAGUGGCGAAAGCGACUUCCUGGACCAAUACUGACGCUCAUGUGCGAAAGCGUGGGGAGCAAACAGG